RNAcentral lists this ribosomal RNA (676 nucleotides) under Pseudomonas sp. s_G1-44. Its description in RNAcentral is "bacterial SSU rRNA". It matches the Rfam family "Bacterial small subunit ribosomal RNA", at positions 71 to 735 of the family's 1533-position model. Lineage: Bacteria; Pseudomonadati; Pseudomonadota; Gammaproteobacteria; Pseudomonadales; Pseudomonadaceae. The record is from RNAcentral.
ACAGAGAGUAGCUUGCUACUCUGCUGACGAGCGGCGGACGGGUGAGUAAUGCCUAGGAAUCUGCCUAGUAGUGGGGGAUAACUUGCCGAAAGGUAAGCUAAUACCGCAUACGUCCUACGGGAGAAAGSAGGGGACUCUUCGGAGCCUUGCGCUAUUAGAUGAGCCUAGGUCGGAUUAGUUAGUUGGUGAGGUAAUGGCUCACCAAGACCGCGAUCCGUAACUGGUCUGAGAGGAUGAUCAGUCACACUGGAACUGAGACACGGUCCAGACUCCUACGGGAGGCAGCAGUGGGGAAUAUUGGACAAUGGGGGAAACCCUGAUCCAGCCAUGCCGCGUGUGUGAAGAAGGUCUUAGGAUUGUAAAGCACUUUAAGUUGGGAGGAAGGGCAGUUAACUAAUAUUUGACUGUUUUGACGUUACCGACAGAAUAAGCACCGGCUAACUUCGUGCCAGCAGCCGCGGUAAUACGAAGGGUGCAAGCGUUAAUCGGAAUUACUGGGCGUAAAGCGCGCGUAGGUGGUUCGUUAAGUUAGGAGUGAAAGCCCCGGGCUCAACCUGGGAAUUGCUUCUAAAACUGGCGGGCUAGAGUAUGGUAGAGGGUGGUGGAAUUUCCUGUGUAGCGGUGAAAUGCGUAGAUAUAGGAAGGAACAUCAGUGGCGAAGGCGACCACCUGGACU